CUUUAAGAUGAAAGGGACUUCCUGUUUUCCUUCCCUACUCUUCAUAUCAGAUGAAACAACUGGAACUUCACAGCAUCACCUCGGCUGAUCCAGUCUGCCCCGCUCCCUCCAGAAAUUUAGCACUGAAGUCCCAGAUUCCAUCUCCUGUCAUAGUGAUCGAUGAUUCCCUCAACAGAACCAGAGAAGCAUUCUGCAAUGAUCAAUAAAUCAGUUGUUUGGAUCAAGUGACCUUGCCUGGCGUUGCAGUGCUGGGAAGAAACCGGAACACCUGAGGGAAAAAACAUACACAAAAUGCUGGAAGAAUUCAGCAGGCCAGGCAGCAUCCAUGGAAAAAAGUACAGUCGGUGUCUCAGGCGGCAUUUUGUGUGUGUUGCUCUCAUUUCUAGCACUUGAAGAUUUUCUCUUGUUUGGCACCUGAAGGAACCCACAUAGUCACAGGAGAAUGUACAAACACCUUACAGACAGCAGUGGAAAUAGAAUGCUGAUCUAGCAGAUUGCACUGUAUAGUGUUAUGAUAAUUGCUGUGCCACCAUGCCACCCAUACAUAUGU
This is a long non-coding RNA of Hypanus sabinus (Atlantic stingray), 550 nucleotides long. RefSeq lists it as uncharacterized. NCBI's taxonomy places the organism in Eukaryota, Metazoa, Chordata, Chondrichthyes, Myliobatiformes, Dasyatidae. The record is from RefSeq and is a predicted model, not a curated record. The transcript has 3 exons.